This 71-nucleotide transfer RNA is filed under the name Candidatus Taylorbacteria bacterium RIFCSPHIGHO2_02_FULL_45_35. RNAcentral describes it as "tRNA-Gln". It matches the Rfam family "tRNA". From Rfam's summary of the family: Transfer RNA (tRNA) molecules are approximately 80 nucleotides in length. Their secondary structure includes four short double-helical elements and three loops (D, anti-codon, and T loops). RNAcentral also lists the same sequence under 4 other names. The record is from RNAcentral. Lineage: Bacteria; Candidatus Tayloriibacteriota.
UGCGGGUUCGUCUAAUGGUAGGACACUUGCCUCUGGAGCAAGGUAUUGGGGUUCGAGUCCCUGACCCGCAG